GGGGAUAGCGGGGGCCUUAACACAUGCAGUCGAGCGGUAGACAAAACAGCUUGCUUCUUUGGUUGACGAGCGGCGGACGGGUGAGUAAUGUCUGGGAAACUGCCUGAUGGAGGGGGAUAACUACUGGAAACGGUAGCUAAUACCGCAUAACGUCGCAAGACCAAAGUGGGGGACCUUCGGGCCUCAUGCCAUCAGAUGUGCCCAGAUGGGAUUAGCUAGUAGGUGAGGUAAUGGCUCACCUAGGCGACGAUCCCUAGCUGGUCUGAGAGGAUGACCAGCCACAUUGGAACUGAAACACGGUCCAGACUCCUACGGGAGGCAGCAGUGGGGAAUAUUGCACAAUGGGGGCAAGCCUGAUGCAGCCUACCGGGGUGUAUGAAGAAGGCAUUCGGGUUGUAAAGUACUUUCAGCGAGGAAGGAGGGGCUUAAGGUAAAUAACCUUAGCGAUUGACGUUACUCGCAGAAAAAGCACCGGCUAACUCCGUGCCAGCAGCCGCGGUAAUACGGGAGGGUGCAAGCGUUAAAUCGGGAAUUACUGGGCGUAAAGCGCACCCCAGGCGGUCUGUCAAGUCGGAUGUGAAAUCCCCGGGCUCAACCUGGGAACUGCAUCCCGAAACUGGCAGGCUAGAGUCUUGUAGAGGGGGGUAGAAUUCCAGGUGUAGCGGUGAAAUGCGUAGAGAUCUGGAGAAUACCGGUGGCGAAGGCGGCCCCCUGGACAAAGACUGACGCUCAGGUGCGAAAGCGUGGGGGAGCAAACAGGAUUAGAUACCCUGGUAGUCCACGGCUGUAAACGAUGUCGACUUGGAGGUUGUGCCCUUGGAGGAGUGGCUUCCGGAGCUAACGCGUUAAGUCGACCGCCUGGGGGAGUACGGCCGCAAGGUUAAAACUCAAAUGAAUUGACGGGGGCCCGCACAAGCGGGUGAAGCAUGUGGUUUAAUUCGAUGCAACGCGAAGAACCUUACCUACUCUUGGACAUCCAGAAGAACUUAGCAGAGAAUGCUUUGGUGCCUUCGGGAACUUCUGGAGAAAGGUGCUGCAUGGCUUGUCGUCAGCUCGUGGGUGUGAAAUGUUGGAUUAAGUCCCGCAACGAGCGCAACCCUUAUCUCUUUGUGGCCAGCGGUUCGGCCGGGAACUCAAAGGAGACUUGCCAGUGAUAAACUGGAGGAAGGGUGGGGAUGACGUCAAGUCAUCAUGGCCCUUAAGAGUAGGGCUACACACGUGCUACAAUGGCAUAUACAAAGAGAAGCGACGUCUCGCGAGAGCAAGCGGACCUCAUAAAGUAUGUCGUAGUCCGGAUCGGAGUCUGCAACUCGACUCCGUGAAGUCGGAAUCGCUAGUAAUCGUGGAUCAGAAUGCCACGGUGAAUACGUUCCCGGGCCUUGUACACACCGCCCGUCACACCAUGGGAGUGGGUUGCAAAAGAAGUAGGUAGCUUUACCUUCGGGAGGGGCGCCUUACCCCGUUCAGUACGUCC
RNAcentral lists this ribosomal RNA (1474 nucleotides) under Klebsiella sp. RNAcentral's name for it is "bacterial SSU rRNA". It matches the Rfam family "Bacterial small subunit ribosomal RNA". Lineage: Bacteria; Pseudomonadati; Pseudomonadota; Gammaproteobacteria; Enterobacterales; Enterobacteriaceae. The record is from RNAcentral.